Molecule: long non-coding RNA, 2149 nt
Organism: Lycium ferocissimum
Lineage: Eukaryota; Viridiplantae; Streptophyta; Magnoliopsida; Solanales; Solanaceae
Exons: 2
Source: RefSeq, a predicted model, not a curated record
AUAAUUGUAUCUUUGCUCUAGAAAUUUUUCUUUACAAUCAGACUGCUUCAAAUUACGUUUUCCAAUUCGUUAAUCGUUGAAUCGAGCUUAAAUUUGAAGUGGAAAUUCUCAACAUUCUAUUCUUCAAUUUGAACGAUGAAGAUCAGAUUUUGAGGAGAACAAGCUCAACAAGUAUUUGAAGCAUUGAAGUUGGCGAUCACUCAAGUGUCUGCUUAGCGAUGCCGGACUUUUCUCAGCCAUUUAUAAUUAAAACUGACCAAAAAACGCUUAAAUUUUUGCUGGAAUGGAGAGUUAUGGGUGAGAAUCAACAGAAAUGGGUUUCCAAACUCAUGGGUUAUAAGUUUGAGAUCAAGUACAAAUCGGGUACUGAAAAUAGAGUAGUUGAUGCGCUGUCAAGAAGCGGGGAAUCUGCAGAGUUAUAUGCAUUUUCAACUUGGAAAUAUCAUGACAAGGAGAAAUGAGACCAAGAAAUACAACGAGACACCAAAAUGGCUUCUAUUUUGCAAAAGCUAAUUUCAAGAUUACUAGUAGAUGACAACUACAACUUGAAGAAUGGAUGUCUACUAUUCAAAGAACGCUUGGUUUUGCCAAAAGGAUCAUCUCGAAUACCUGGGCCAUUGAAAGAGUUCUAUUCCUCUCCUAUAAGAGGCCAUUCAGGGUAUCUUCGCACAUAUAAAAGGCUGUCCGAGAAUAUCUAUUGGGAAAGAGGGAUGUAUUGCCAGGUGUGAAAUUAGUCAAAAGAACAAGUGUCAAACUUUGAGUCCCGUGGGGUUACUCCACCCGUUACCUAUACCUCAUCAUGUAUAAGAGGAUGUAAAUAUGAACUUCAUUACUAGCCUUAUUCCUAAAUCCAAUAGGUUUGAUACUAUAUUGGCUGUGGUGGAUUGUCUUACUAAGUACGCACAUUUUAUUCCACUUUCAUACCCUUUUAAUGCUAAAAAUGUGGCUGAUGUUUUCAUUAAGGAAGUGGUUAAAUUACAUGGAUUUCCUAAAUCUAUUGUGUCUGAUCGUGACUGUGUGUUCAUAAGCCAAUUUUGGAGGGAAUUGUUCAAAAUAACAGGUACUACCUUAUCUUUAUAACUCUUCCUACUAUCUGGAGACCGAUGGACAAACAAAAGUGGUGAAUAGGAGUUUGGAGACAUAUCUUCGUUGCAUGGCAGGAGAAAAUCCUAAGCAAUGGUCUCACUGGUUAUCUUGGGUUGAGUAUUGGUUUAAUACAUCCUUUAACUGAUCUGCAGGUAUGACACCCUUUAAAGCAUUAUAUGGGAGGGAUCCACCAUCAAGUUUUGACAUGGAUGACAACGCAAUGGAAGAUGUGAAUAAGUAGGUGCACACUAAAAAUCUGAUCUUGACCAAACUCAAAUAUCAUCUGGUACAAGCACAACAAAGAAUGAAGAAUCAAGCUGAUCGACAUCAUAGAGAAGUGAUUUUUGAGAUUGGUGAAAUGGUAUAUCUCAAACUUCGGCCCUACAAACUACAUUCUUUAGCUAAGAAGAUUAAUGAAAAACUCAGUCCCAGCUUUUAUGGCCUUUCAAGAUUCCGAAAAAGCUUGGUCCCGUAGCUUAUCAGUUGGAGUUGCCCGUUGGAACACGCAUUCAUUCAAUGUUUCAUAUUUCAAAAUUGAGAAAAUGCUUGCUACUAACUACUACUGCUCAAAACCUACCUCUAUUUCUUACGCAAGAUUUGGAGCUUCAAGUUGAGCCUAAAGUAGUAAGGCAGACCAGGAAGCUAAUCAAUGGUAAGUGGGAAGUUUUAAUCAAGUGGAAGAACCUGGCAGAAUUUGAGAAUACUUAGGAGGACUAUGCUAUCAUCGAUCUACAAUUUCCUGACUUUUACCUUGAGGAAAGGGUGACUCUUAUAGGGGAGGGUAAUGAUGAGCCUCAGGUUAUAAAAACUUAUUCUAGGAGGCCAAAAUAAACAAUUGAAAAACUUAGUUACUCAUGUACUAGGGUGAUUUUUCUGGAGAAAAAGGGGCAGGACAGCUUCAAAAAGAUAUUCAGAGAAGUAUUUUCAGAAAAAAGGGAAUCAUUUAGGAGAGUCUAGCCUCUCGAAUGUCUAUAAGUAUCAAAUCUGUGUAAUCUCAUUAUUAUGCACUGUAUAACUGAAUUUUAGGUUGUAAUUUAAGGUCUUAGCAGUGUUUGAGUGGUGA